UGUCCUCUUCCUACUGCAGGACAGAUGUAAUGGUACCUACAGCCUUCAAGGAGCCUCUGGUGCAGGAAGCAAAGAGCCUGGCAGCAGGACAAGGGGACUGUCACUUGGCUUGGAGUGGGCUGGAGUGAGGGUGAAGCAACACCUCCUUCCAGCUGGACACAGGCUGGUGAGCUGAAGGGGAAACUCUGAGAUCCCACUGCUGACACCAUGACCUCAG
Myotis davidii is the source of this 217-nucleotide long non-coding RNA. RefSeq lists it as uncharacterized. The transcript has 3 exons. The record is from RefSeq and is a predicted model, not a curated record. Lineage: Eukaryota; Metazoa; Chordata; Mammalia; Chiroptera; Vespertilionidae.